This is a long non-coding RNA of Sciurus carolinensis (gray squirrel), 2019 nucleotides long. RefSeq lists it as uncharacterized. The transcript is spliced from 3 exons. NCBI's taxonomy places the organism in Eukaryota, Metazoa, Chordata, Mammalia, Rodentia, Sciuridae. The record is from RefSeq and is a predicted model, not a curated record.
CGGGAGAGCGGGAACCGGGCGACGGGCGAUGAGGCCGAGGUUUCUAUUACGUGGACCCUCGUCAGCUUGAGAACAGACCCAUCACCACUGGGAAGUCCAAAUUUGAGAGUCUUCAUUAGCCAGCCGACUGUCUCACACAAGACCCCAAGAAUGGCUAUUGGGAGAACAGCCCCGAACAUAAGGCUGCAGGGGUUUUAUACCGAAGGGAGUGCUGUACUGAGCGCAGUGUGGGGAGAGUGACAAAUGAGGCACCAUCUCUGCUUACGGUCUACCUGGGGCUGAAACAUCGACUCUGGAAAGAAAUGGGAGAAUGGCUGACAAUGCGAAGCCAUAGCCCAUCGUGGGGAUUCUUGCUUUCGGAAUUCCAGGCUCAGUCCUGGCACGCUGCACGGAGAAAGACACGAGCUGCUGCCUCUCAUCUCGCGGCAAGGGGUGUGCCAGUCACCCUCUCUCUGGGCUAAGGAAGCCUCCAGCCUUCCUGUCCUCUGGAGAGUCCCAAGUGUGGCGAGACCCCAGGGCAGAGGUGGUCACCAGCCACUGGGAAUCGGCCAUCUGCCACAUCUGGUGACCUCCGAACGUCUUAGGUAAAAACUGAAGCCUCAAUGUGAACAGGGUGGUGGGUCAGUGAGCCAAGAGUCACUCACAGUGGCCUGCUGGAGACUGCGCUUUACAGUGAACAGGAGGCAGGGGGAGCAGGGACGGGCAGCAUUUGGAAAUGGAGGGGCUGGGGAAUAGCUCAGUGGCAGAGAGCGUGCUUAGCAUUCAUGAAGCCCUGGUUUCGAUGCCCAGUACCAAAAACAAACAAAAAAGCAGCAGCAGGGAAGAUUCCAAGACAGGGUAUGAGUCACCAAGUUAGGGAGGCUGAGCUGGCAGUGCAGGGCAGGCCACGGAGCAGGCGGUGCUGGGGACCACAGAGGGCCCUCCUGGCAAGUAACGGACGAAGUGAUUUCAGGGUCAGGACACUGGCAGCAGAGUGCUACCUAUACGACCCCACCAAGCUGGAUCCAGCAGGCAGCGGGAAGGUCCUACCACGACUCCACUGACCAAGACCUCUGUGCUAACUUCUUGACCCAGGGAAAGCCAAAGGCAUGUUCAUGGCCCUGGCUUCCUGACGCUCUUGGGCAGAGGGUCACCGGGUCCUAGCUACAUGAUGGGAAGUGCAGUAUUGACCAAAAGCGGAGCUUGCAGCACCCUCACCUUGUACCUGGCUCAAAGCCUGAAUCAGUGGAAGCCAGGUUAAGUCAGGGAACAGCAUCCCAGGCAGAGGGAACAGCACAGGUGGGGCAUGGAGGGCAGAACAGCAGAGAUGGGCUCUGAGCUGCCAGCUGCAUCUGAGGGAGAUUUCCUCCCCUCUGGAAACUGAAUGCAGCACAGAUUGUAAAGGGGAGAACUGAGAGGAUGUGAUGAGACAAGGGAAUAAUAGGAAUUACUAUAGCUGUGUUAUGUAGUAAUAAUAAGCUGUAUUUGGUAUUUGCCUGGACUUGUAAAACUAAAAUCAUAAAAGGCACCUGGUGUGUGGCAGAUGACACUCCUGAACAAUGCGAUGUGAACCCUUAUCUAUGAUUUGAGUGGGGGCUCCUGGUCUAGUCGUGUUCUGGUCUUUAUCAAUGAAGACCAGAGCGUGGCUGGGCUGAAGAUCACUACUUAGACCCCUGGACUUCUGUCAGCAGCACUGUGACCAGAGGACUCCACGUCGCUGUCUCUGACUGCCCCGGCUGCUGUCCACUCCAUCACUGAUUGCUGAUCGACCAUUGUCACCGAGGCCAGAUGACUGCCACCCAGCCUCCAGCUUAUCGGACACCCAAGGACAUCCAGAGACACAUCCAGAGACAUCCAAGGAGCUGAGAGAGGCUACGGCUGAGAAGAAUCCCCUCGGUCUUGCUGACUGACUUCUUGGCUGAGACAUUGCACUGAGUAAGUCCAUAGGGACUGGACUCGAGGUGAACAAGGGAGUGAAUCUUCGAUGUAUUGGUGCCUAGGAAUGUUAAGUCAAGUGUGCACCGCAUGAAUAAAAUCCAC